This 753-nucleotide unclassified non-coding RNA is filed under the name Hevea brasiliensis (rubber tree). The record is from RNAcentral. Lineage: Eukaryota; Viridiplantae; Streptophyta; Magnoliopsida; Malpighiales; Euphorbiaceae.
AUUUUGUCCUUCUAAAUCCAGACCCUUCAUCUUUUCCCUCUUGAAUUUUGAGCCUUCAUUUUGAGGCCCCUGUUCCCUAUAAAUAUAAAAAAUUUUACUAUUGAAGGGGUCCUUUUUCCGACAAAAGAGCUUAAAGAAUAUAGGUAGGAGGCUUUAGAAACGUCAAUUUUCUAAAGAAUCCUUAUUGUAGUGUCAGCAUCAAAUAGCUUGCUUUCUCCGAAAAUACCCUGACCCGUCACCUCCAAAAAUCAACUUGAUAGUGCUUUAGCCCUGUUUCUGUACUCCAUACAUCAUGGUUCACUUACCUUGUCAUUGUCAGAGCCCCUUUCCAUGUAAAACUCUUAACGUCUACAUUUUUCUUCGAGGGAUAGUUUCAAUCAUCCACAAUGUUACGUUAGAAUCCAAGCUCUAUAAAUAUUUAGUCAUGAUUGAACUCUUAGGGAAAUAUUGUUAAGUUUGAUUUAAGCUUCUUUUUUAAUUAGGUUGUUGUGGUACCGUCAUUUCUAUCCUUUUACUUUUUAUUCAUAAGCAUAUUUUAUUAGUGUUGAAAUCAUAGUUUGAGUUCGGAUAAAAUAAGAGGUUAUAGUCAGAGUCCAUAUGUAAUAAAGAGUGAAGAGAGUUCGAGUAUGAUGGUAAGAGAUCGGAAAUAACAAAGGCGAAAUGUCAGGAUGAGAUGGGAUAUGGUGCGUUUAGUAAAUUUGGGAGAUUAGGAAUAACGCACAUAUAGUUGUCGUUUAAAUGCAUGCAUUUACG